This 1850-nucleotide long non-coding RNA is filed under the name Gallus gallus (chicken). The record is from RNAcentral. Lineage: Eukaryota; Metazoa; Chordata; Aves; Galliformes; Phasianidae.
AAUAAAUAUCAGCUAUUAUCACAAACAACACAAUAAAAAAACCCCACAACCAAAAUCCCCAAUAUUUUUCAAGUCUUACUUUUCUUUUGACCAAAAUACUUUUCUUUGAACAAUUGAAUGCUGUGUUCUGUGCAAUAGUUUUUUUUAAAAAGAAGCUGUGUACUUUUCUUAACUCUGAGGCAGUAAACCAGUACAUUACCUGAAAUUACUACAUUUAAAACUUAAAUUUUUGGGGCUGACUUCUAUUUUAUUCUAUGAAUUGGAUGGCUGCUGUGAAUUUCUGGAAGGUUAACAAGGCUUCAGAGGCACAUACACAGAGAUGCUACUUUUCUGUUCUUGCUGUUAGUAAGAGUUUGUUUAUUUCAUUUCUAGACCAGUUUUUGGCCUGGGUAAUUUGGAAUUUGGACAAUCCCUUGGCUCAUUAACAGCCUAUGCAACGGAUGAGAACUUAGCAGUGUGCUUGUCUACAACGUAAUUUUAGGUUUUAAGAUGAGAAUUUGAAUUGGGUUAUUGGAUAACUUUGUACUUGGGAUUACAUAGAUUACUGACCAGUAUUUACAUCUGUGAUCAAAUCAAUUCUAUAAACUGAAAUAUAUUUUGCUACCUUCUGCUUCAUCAGAAAUGGGUAGUGAAUAAGGGUAGAAUGAUUUAAGAUUUCAGUGCCAUUGACUUCCUCCAAGGCACUGGAGCUCUUUUAUGCACUUUAGUACUAUGGUAAUCAGAGGGCGUGAAUACUAAAUGUAAAAGCAGUUGGAGCUUCUCAGUGGCUCUUGGUGCUUAUAGAAUAGACCUCUCAUAAACAAUAUUGUAAUUAUUUAGAAAAGUGGCAUGAAAUAGAGCAAGUAGCCUACUUAGAAUGUUUACUCUGUGAGAAGCGACCUUUUCAUGGUCAUGGUGUCAGGAGGUCACAGACAAGGAAGAUGGGGAGUUCUGUACUAACACAAGGAACAACUUUACUAUGACAGUGACAGAGCACUGGAACAGGCAGCCUGGGGAGGUUGUGGGGUCUAUUCUGGAGAUAUUCAAAAUCCACCUGGAUACUUUCCUGUGCAACCUGCUGUAGGGAACCUGCUUUAGUAGAGGUCCCUUCCAAAGCUCACAGUUCAGUGACUUGGAGGAGGUUUUGGCAGUCAAUUCUGUGUUUGUGGUCUUCGAAGCGUGGAUCUUGCUAUAUAUUAAAGCAGUCAAAUGCUUUUUGAGUAGCUUCAGUCUGUUCAGAGCUUUUAUAAGAUGGAUGUUUUGCCAUUUAGUGUACUAUUGAUGUGCUUCUUUAACACCUGUAAGGAGCUGCAAUUACGUAGAUUAUAUCCAGUAGGAAACAAGUUCACUGAACCCAUUUCCAGCAGUUCUCAUGAGCAGAUUUCUACUUGGUAAGCACCACAGGCAUAUCUGAUGCUUCUUAAAGCUCUUUCAGGCUCCAGCUGUUCUGAGAACAGGGAAUUUCUGAGUUACUGUGGCUCUAGCAAUCUUCAACAGAUUUAUUUUAUAUCAACUUUUCCAGGCUGUCUUUGUGCUGUCAAAAAAAACUCAUAGACUGUAAACUGUGAGUAUAUUUUUCUCAGCAAAUGCUCAAGAAAUCUGAUGCUCUUGUAACCCAGUUUAGUACUUAGAGCUUGAGGAGCCCUGAUCCUAGUUAAAAUCAAUAAAACUGUCAUUAUAUCCAUGUCCGUCAGAUGGUCAUCUAAGAUGAUAAAUUUGUGCCACACUGUUAAGUGACAGAUGUUCCCCCUGCUAAGUCAUACAGUGCCACUUAUUCCACUUUUUAUUUUUCAUCUUACCUGACUAUAAUGGGAAAGAUAUUGCCUGUACACAGAGGGGACCUGGGACUGCAACCCUUGUUCUGAAAGUGC